CGGACCGGCGCACGGGUGAGUAACGCGUAUCCAACCUGCCCACCACGUUGGGGAUAACCUUGCGAAAGUAAGACUAAUACCCAAUGAUAUCUCUAGAAGACAUCUGAAAGAGAUUAAAGAUUUAUCGGUGAUGGAUGGGGAUGCGUCUGAUUAGCUUGUUGGCGGGGUAACGGCCCACCAAGGCAACGAUCAGUAGGGGUUCUGAGAGGAAGGUCCCCCACAUUGGAACUGAGACACGGUCCAA
Molecule: ribosomal RNA, 244 nt
Filed under: uncultured bacterium
Lineage: Bacteria
Description: partial 16S ribosomal RNA
Rfam family: Bacterial small subunit ribosomal RNA
Source: RNAcentral